Molecule: long non-coding RNA, 1024 nt
Organism: Vicia villosa (hairy vetch)
Lineage: Eukaryota; Viridiplantae; Streptophyta; Magnoliopsida; Fabales; Fabaceae
Exons: 3
Source: RefSeq, a predicted model, not a curated record
GUGUUAUUGUGCCUAUUUUCGUCGAAAGUGGAAUUAUACUGAUUUUCUCUUUAAGUAAUUUCCUGUCAUUUUCUGUUAGAUUCGCUACGUAAAACUGUUUUGCAGAGGCUCUAUAGGAUCGCCGGCAAUUUGGUACACAUCCGUACUGUGCAUGAAAAGGAAGACGCGAAGCUGGGCUCAGCGAUCCAAGAACUAAAAGAGGCCAACGCAAAGCUGCACAUGGCGUUCAUUUUAAAGGGAGAUGUAUGUAUGAAUUUGCGCCCUGUUGUUUGCUAUCAUUGAGUUGUAGUUGCGGAAUCAGAAAUAUACGGCUGCUGGAACAAGUCUAUUGCGUGACAGUUUCAAACAAGUUGUUUUGAAGAUUUCGCAAAUGAUUCCAAACUGGCUCUGGCUCUGUAUCUGUCAUAGUCUACGGGGAUUACGAUAAACCAACCUUAUUAGUUAUUCAGAUUUAGCGAUAAAUUGUUAUGCUCAUCAAUGGAUUGGUGGCUGCACAUGAUAUCUUGCUUGAAGAUCUGAGAAGAUUAAGCACCGGCAUUAACAUAGAGAUUGAUUUGACUAAAAUUGUGUUUCAAUCAGACGAUACAAAAUUGUUUGAUUCGCCUCUGCCUGCACGUGUCAAAAGUGCCGAGGGUUCCUGAUUCUGUCACUGUUUAUUGCUAUUGAUGCAAGCCACUUGAUUCAAGAGCUGAAAGUGUCAGAGCUGCUGCCAGUUUGGGCUGAAAUGAUUGCAGAGUGGCACACAUGGGAGGAAUCAGAAGAUUUGUCAAUUUUGUAUGUCAUUAAGGAAAUCGUGAAUUUAGAUCGUUCAUACAGGUUGAAAAACUUUCUUGUCGGUGCGCGAUUUGCCGGUGGUCGGAGAUUGGCGGGGUAAUCCUUGGGAUGAUUGUGUUGAUAAGUAACCUGUUAGAAUGCAUGUUUCUGUUUCUGUUAGUACUUAAACUUUGUAAAACAAAAUUGUUAAUUUUUUUCUUCUUUUUUUGGGUGGUUUGUUGUUGGUAUUAUAGUUGUUAAUUCAAUGUAA